This 30-nucleotide non-coding RNA is filed under the name Mus musculus (house mouse). RNAcentral also lists the same sequence under 1 other name. Lineage: Eukaryota; Metazoa; Chordata; Mammalia; Rodentia; Muridae. The record is from RNAcentral.
ACAUCCUCACAGUUGGAUUCAUGAGUUUUG